AUGAUCAAGGCUUUCUGGUGGGGCAGCAAAAGAGGUAAGAGGAAACCCUAUUGGGUGUCUUGGGAUACGAUGAUCAUGACGAAGUACAUGGGAGGUUUGGGUUUCCGAGAUUUCGAGAUCUUCAACUUGGCUCUCUUGGCGCGGUAGGCGUGGAGAAUUCUGGAGCAACCUGAAUCUCUAAGUGCGAGGAUAUUGAAGACAGUUUACUAUCCGAACUCAGUUUUUCUUGAUGCUGAACUGGGAAACCACCCCUCACAAAUCUAGAGGUUGGUAAUAGAGGGGCGUGAUGUGCUGCAACAAGGUCUUAUCAGGAGAAUUGGCAAUGGUAGUUCCACUAGUAUUUGGGACAUGAACUGGAUCCCAAGGCCUGAAAAUAUGCGACCAUUGUUUCUCUUAUUCAGAACCCACCACUGA
RNAcentral lists this ribosomal RNA (414 nucleotides) under Triticum aestivum (bread wheat). Its description in RNAcentral is "partial small subunit ribosomal RNA". Lineage: Eukaryota; Viridiplantae; Streptophyta; Magnoliopsida; Poales; Poaceae. The record is from RNAcentral.